Molecule: long non-coding RNA, 276 nt
Organism: Drosophila nasuta
Lineage: Eukaryota; Metazoa; Arthropoda; Insecta; Diptera; Drosophilidae
Exons: 3
Source: RefSeq, a predicted model, not a curated record
AAAUAUUCCUAAACGUACUGACAUUAAAAUACACACUUUAAUCAUAAAUAAUCGGUCAAAAAUUGCUUUAGUUGACAUUAAAUUUUAUGGUAAUUUUAAAAAUAAGAAAUAUGUUGAAUGAAGUCCUGGUAGUUCCGAUCAUACGGAUCGUACCGAUCAAUAUCAAUGGCUAUCAGCAGAAGGGCAAAGGAUAAUAGAGUUCCGAGCUUAAGAAGCAUCUUAGUGGUUAUGUGUCUUAUUUAAAACUGUUCGACUAAAUCUUAAAUUUUAAUUUAA